This 259-nucleotide ribosomal RNA is filed under the name uncultured Atribacterota bacterium. Its description in RNAcentral is "uncultured Candidatus Atribacteria bacterium partial 16S ribosomal RNA". It matches the Rfam family "Bacterial small subunit ribosomal RNA", at positions 1127 to 1382 of the family's 1533-position model. The record is from RNAcentral. Lineage: Bacteria; Pseudomonadati; Atribacterota.
AUGCUUGAGCACUCUAAGGGGACGUGCCGGUGACAAACCGGAGGAAGGUGGGGAUGACGUCAAAUCCGCAUGGCCCUUAUGUCCUGGGCGACACACGUGCUACAAUGGCCAGUACAGAGGGUUGCGAACCCGCGAGGGGGAGGCCAAUCCCAAAAAGCUGGCCCCAGUUGGGAUUGCAGGCUGCAACUCGCCUGCAUGAACGCGGAAUCGCUAGUAAUCGCGUAUCAGCUACGGCGCGGUGAAUGCGUUCCCGGGCCUU